RNAcentral lists this ribosomal RNA (497 nucleotides) under uncultured bacterium. RNAcentral describes it as "partial 16S ribosomal RNA". It matches the Rfam family "Bacterial small subunit ribosomal RNA", at positions 28 to 507 of the family's 1533-position model. The record is from RNAcentral.
GAUGAACGCUGGCGGCGUGCCUAAUACAUGCAGGUCGAGCGAACAGACGAGGAGCUUGCUCCUCUGACGUCAGCGGCGGACGGGUGAGUAACACGUGGAUAACCUACCUAUAAGACUGGGAUAACUUCGGGAAACCGGAGCUAAUACCGGAUAAUAUAUUGAACCGCAUGGUUCAAUAGUGAAAGACGGUUUUGCUGUCACUUAUAGAUGGAUCCGCGCCGCAUUAGCUAGUUGGUAAGGUAACGGCUUACCAAGGCAACGAUGCGUAGCCGACCUGAGAGGGUGAUCGGCCACACUGGAACUGAGACACGGUCCAGACUCCUACGGGAGGCAGCAGUAGGGAAUCUUCCGCAAUGGGCGAAAGCCUGACGGAGCAACGCCGCGUGAGUGAUGAAGGUCUUCGGAUCGUAAAACUCUGUUAUUAGGGAAGAACAAAUGUGUAAGUAACUAUGCACGUCUUGACGGUACCUAAUCAGAAAGCCACGGCUAACUACGUG